Molecule: ribosomal RNA, 254 nt
Filed under: uncultured bacterium
Lineage: Bacteria
Description: partial 16S ribosomal RNA
Rfam family: Bacterial small subunit ribosomal RNA
Source: RNAcentral
UACGGGGGGCGCAAGCGUUGUUCGGAUUUACUGGGCGUAAAGGGCGCGUAGGCGGUCAGCACAAGUCAGUUGUGAAAUCUCCGGGCUUAACUCGGAAAGGUCAACUGAUACUGUGCGACUAGAGUGCGGAAGGGGCAACUGGAAUUCUCGGUGUAGCGGUGAAAUGCGUAGAUAUCGAGAGGAACACCGGUGGCGAAGGCGGGUCUCUGGGCAGUAACUGACGCUGAGGAGCGAAAGCGUGGGGAGCGAACAGG